UCAGAACGAACGCUGGCGGCAGGCCUAAUACAUGCAAGUCGAGCGACGCUUCGGGGUGAGCGGCGGACGGGUGAGUAACGCGUGGGAAUAUGCCCUUCUCUAAGGAAUAGCCUCUGGAAACGGAGAGUAAUACCUUAUACGCCCUUUGGGGGAAAGAUUUAUCGGAGAAGGAUUAGCCCGCGUUAGAUUAGGUAGUUGGUGGGGUAAUGGCCUACCAAGCCUACGAUCUAUAGCUGGUUUGAGAGGAUGAUCAGCCACACUGGGACUGAGACACGGCCCAGACUCCUACGGGAGGCAGCAGUAGGGAAURUUAGACAAUGGGGGCAACCCUGAUCUAGCCAUGCCGCGUGUGUGAUGAAGGCCCUAGGGUCGUAAAGCACUUUCGCCAGAGAUGAUAAUGACAGUAUCUGGUAAAGAAACCCCGGCUAACUCCGUGCCAGCAGCCGCGGUAAUACGGAGGGGGUUAGCGUUGUUCGGAAUUACUGGGCGUAAAGCGCACGUAGGCGGAUUAGUAAGUUAGAGGUGAAAUCCCAGGGCUCAACCCUGGAACUGCCUUUAAUACUGCUAGUCUUGAGUUCGAGAGAGGUAAGUGGAAUUCCGAGUGUAGAGGUGAAAUUCGUAGAUAUUCGGAGGAACACCAGUGGCGAAGGCGGCUUACUGGCUCGAUACUGACGCUGAGGUGCGAAAGUGUGGGGAGCAAACAGGAUUAGAUACCCUGGUAGUCCACACCGUAAACGAUGAAUGCCAGACGUCAGCAAGUAUACUUGUUGGUGUCACACCUAACGGAUUAAGCAUUUCGCCUGGGGAGUACGGUCGCAAGAUUAAAACUCAAAGGAAUUGACGGGGCCCGCACAAGCGGUGGAGCAUGUGKUUUAAUUCGAAGCAACGCGCAGAACCUUACCAACCCUUGACAUCCUGUGCUACUACCAGAGAUGGUACGUUCCCUUCGGGGACGCAGUGACAGGUGCUGCAUGGCUGUCGUCAGCUCGUGUCGUGAGAUGUUCGGUUAAGUCCGGCAACGAGCGCAACCCACAUCUUUAGUUGCCAGCAGGUUAAGCUGGGCACUCUAGAGAAACUGCCCGUGAUAAGCGGGAGGAAGGUGUGGAUGACGUCAAGUCCUCAUGGCCCUUACGGGUUGGGCUACACACAGUGCUACAAUGGCAGUGACAAUGGGUUAAUCCCCAAAAGCUGUCUCAGUUCGGAUUGGGGUCUGCAACUCGACCCCAUGAAGUCGGAAUCGCUAGUAAUCGCGUAACAGCAUGACGCGGUGAAUACGUUCCCGGGCCUUGUACACACCGCCCGUCACACCAUGGGAGUUGGUUCUACCCGACGACGCUGCGCUAACCCUUCGGGGAGGCAGGCGGCCACGGUAGGAUCAGCGACUGGGGUG
Molecule: ribosomal RNA, 1390 nt
Filed under: uncultured Alphaproteobacteria bacterium
Lineage: Bacteria; Pseudomonadati; Pseudomonadota; Alphaproteobacteria
Description: bacterial SSU rRNA
Rfam family: Bacterial small subunit ribosomal RNA
Source: RNAcentral